Molecule: ribosomal RNA, 376 nt
Filed under: uncultured bacterium
Lineage: Bacteria
Description: bacterial SSU rRNA
Rfam family: Bacterial small subunit ribosomal RNA
Source: RNAcentral
GGCCCGCACAAGCGGUGGAGUAUGUGGUUUAAUUCGAUGAUACGCGAGGAACCUUACCAGGGCUUAAAUGUAGUGGGACAGGUCUAGAGAUAGACCCUUCUUCGGACUCAUUACAAGGUGCUGCAUGGUUGUCGUCAGCUCGUGCCGUGAGGUGUCAGGUUAAGUCCUAUAACGAGCGCAACCCCCUAUCGUUAGUUGCCAGCGAGUAAUGUCGGGAACUCUAACGAAACUGCCAGUGCAAACAUGUGAGGAAGGUGGGAUGACGUCAAAUCAUCACGGCCCUUACGUCCUGGGCUACACACGUGCUACAAUGGUAGGGACAGAGAGUUGCCAACCGCGAGGUGAGCUAAUCUUCAAACCCCUAUCUCAGUUCGGA